This 914-nucleotide long non-coding RNA is filed under the name Homo sapiens (human). RNAcentral describes it as "HSALNT0293532". The record is from RNAcentral. Lineage: Eukaryota; Metazoa; Chordata; Mammalia; Primates; Hominidae.
GAUUCACCCUGGGUGGGUAACUGACUCAGAAGACGUUAUCAGAGCUCUUCUCCAAGACUUAUUCAACAGGAACCAGUGAAGAAGAUCAAUGUCUCUGACAAAAAAACUAUGUGUUGUAAGGCUCGGGGCUCCUCUCUGCCCAUUUUUCCCGCUGAAAGAGGGAAGCUGAUAUAAGAGUGCUGCUGUUCAGAAGUCUGAGCUGGAUGUGUAGUUGGUCAUCGUCAGCAUACAGAGGAUAACUGAAGCCACGUGUGGGAGGGAAGAUCACCAACUGGGACACAGAUGCUGAAAAGAAGGCAGCCAAGAAUGAACUCUGAGAAAAGCCAACAUUUAAGGAGUGGAUACGAGAAGAGGCAUUGUGAGCUAGACUGAAAAGGAAUGGCCAGAGUUUUGCAAAUGUAAUCAGAAGUGCAUCAUGAAAACCAACAAAGGGAGCAGUUUCAACAAAUAGGGAUGAUCAGCAACAACCUAAAAUAUUACAGAGAGAUCUAGCAAUACAAGUAUUUCAAAUUGUUCUUCAGAUGUAACAAUAUAUCCAAGUUACUGCACUUUCUUUAACCUUCUAAGAAAGAUGGCAUGUCGCAAGUUUCUUCGCACCGUGAUCUCGCUGACUUCAGGAGUGAACCUGCAGACCUUCGCAGUGAGUGUUACAGCUCUUACAUGCAACGCAUCUGCAGUUGCUCGUCCCUCCCAGCGGGUUCCUCGCUGGCCACAAGAGUGAAGCUACAAACUUUCGUGGUGAGUGUUACAGCUCAUAAAAGCUGUGCAAACCCAAAGAGCACGCACCAGCAAAAUUCAGCACAAAGAGGAAAAGAACAACACUUACACACCACAAAAAGGAACCCCAACCUGUUGCAGCCGCUGGCUCCGGCAGCCUGCUUUUAUUCCCUUAUUUGACCCCACCCACAUCCUAC